This 473-nucleotide ribosomal RNA is filed under the name uncultured bacterium. RNAcentral describes it as "partial 16S ribosomal RNA". It matches the Rfam family "Bacterial small subunit ribosomal RNA", at positions 28 to 507 of the family's 1533-position model. The record is from RNAcentral.
GAUAAACGCUGGCGGCGCACAUAAGACAUGCAAGUUGAACGGACUUAAUCGAACUAUUUAUCUUUUGAAGCGGUUAGUGGCGGACUGGUGAGUAACGCGUAAGGAACCUGCCUAUUAGAGGGGAAUAACAGUGAGAAAUCAUUGCUAAUACCGCAUAUGCCAUAGAUAUCACAUGAUAACAGUGGGAAAGGAGCAAUCCGCUAAUAGAUGGCCUUGCGUCUGAUUAGAUAGUUGGUGGGGUAACGGCCUACCAAGUCGACGAUCAGUAGCCGGACUGAGAGGUUGAACGGCCACAUUGGGACUGAGAUACGGCCCAGACUCCUACGGGAGGCAGCAGUCGGGAAUAUUGCGCAAUGGAGGAAACUCUGACGCAGUGACGCCGCGUAUAGGAAGAAGGUUUUCGGAUUGUAAACUAUUGUCGUUAGGGAAGAGAAAGGACAGUACCUAAGGAGGAAGCUCCGGCUAACUACGUG